AACGAACGCUGGCGGCAGGCCUAACACAUGCAAGUCGAGCGAGCAUUUCGGUGCUAGCGGCGGACGGGUGAGUAACGCGUGGGAACGUGCCCUUUUCUGCGGAAUAGUCCUGGGAAACUGGGGGUAAUACCGCAUACGCCCUUUUGGGGAAAGAUUUAUCGGAGAAGGAUCGGCCGGCGUUGGAUUAGGUAGUUGGUGGGGUAAUGGCCCACCAAGCCGACGAUCCAUAGCUGGGUUGAGAGGAUGAUCAGCCACACUGGGACUGAGACACGGCCCAGACUCCUACGGGAGGCAGCAGUGGGGAAUCUUAGACAAUGGGGGCAACCCUGAUCGAGCCAGGCCGCGUGAGUGAUGAAGGCCUUAGGGUUGUAAAGCUCUUUCAGCUGGGAAGAUAAUGACGGUACCAGCAGAAGAAGCCCCGGCUAACUCCGUG
Molecule: ribosomal RNA, 433 nt
Filed under: uncultured bacterium
Lineage: Bacteria
Description: partial 16S ribosomal RNA
Rfam family: Bacterial small subunit ribosomal RNA
Source: RNAcentral